Molecule: ribosomal RNA, 429 nt
Filed under: Fusobacteriota bacterium
Lineage: Bacteria; Fusobacteriati; Fusobacteriota
Description: Fusobacteria bacterium partial 16S ribosomal RNA
Rfam family: Bacterial small subunit ribosomal RNA
Source: RNAcentral
UGGGGAAUCUUCCGCAAUGGACGAAAGUCUGACGGAGCAACGCCGCGUGAGUGAAGACGGCCUUCGGGUUGUAAAGCUCUGUGAUCCGGGACGAAAGAGCCUGAGGUGAAUAGCCUAAGGAAGUGACGGUACCGGAAAAGCAAGCCACGGCUAACUACGUGCCAGCAGCCGCGGUAAUACGUAGGUGGCAAGCGUUGUCCGGAAUUAUUGGGCGUAAAGCGCGCGCAGGCGGCUUCCUAAGUCCAUCUUAAAAGUGCGGGGCUUAACCCCGUGAUGUGAAGGAAACUGGGAAGCUGGAGUAGCGGAGAGGAAAGUGGAAUUCCUAGUGUAGCGGUGAAAUGCGUAGAGAUUAGGAAGACCACCGGUGGCGAAGGCGACUUUCUGGACGAAAACUGACGCUGAGGCGCGAAAGCGUGGGGAGCAAACAGG